UUAAUUUGUUUAAGCAUGACAAUUAAAAAUGUUAAAUCAAAUGAAUGUAAGUUAAUGCUAACUUAAUUGAUCCUUUAUUAAUAUAAAUGUAGCCCGGAGUAACUUAAAAGAGACAAAUAAAAAUGGCCCCCAUUUAAAUUUUGAACUUUUUCCGAUCCGGGAACAAUGGUAAUUCUUGUGACAAUUUAUUAUGUAUUACUGGAUUAUACUGUGUUGUGAGUAAAAUUAAUCUUGUUAAACUCAGGUUCAUCAGCAGGUUGCACCCACGCUUUACUCUAUGCAUCAGUAGUUGAAUAACAAGGAAACAGUAUUCAGUACGUGAUGAGCUUUCGUGGUACACGCAACAGACGCUCCUCGAUUUACCUGUGUUUUUCUUGUCUGUUUUAACAGGAAGACACUCCUGUCCAAGGAGAAGACAAAGCUGGCCCUUCCCAACCACCAGCUAGAGCGAAGAAAAAAUAUGCUAAAAGAUCGUCGCAGGAUGAUGAGCAAACAGUGUCUGCUGCACGUCUCAGGCGGAGAGUGGCGCCAAGUGGUCAUCGCCCACAAUUGAGGUCUAAAUAUUCCCAUUUUAAAGCAUUUAUUCAACAAAAGGUAAUGCUGCCAGUGAAUACGACAUUCACUGUGGUAGCACUACAGAUCUUCUUGUGGUGGGAAAACUUGGUUUCCAGAUGAAAACUCCAUCACUAAUAUUCAAGACAGCGGCAGCAAAAAUUCUGACAUCUCUAUUGACGAGCCAGUCCCCUCAGACAUUGAGAUGGAGGACACGACCCCGACAUCCAUGAUGGUCCAAAUGUGACCUUCCAAACAUACGGAGAUGGUGGACCCUUAUCCUUCUGGAGAACUUUGGGGUUUUCUCUGAAAGACACAGUGUGGAUCAUUGAUGACAGCUAUAUCAGACGUGGUGCCCAGAGAGCUGCCCAGACCAUGGGAAGCAACCUCAGUCUGCCAGGCAUCGGUGUCUGUUGGCAGGGGCGUCAUGCACCUAUUUUUUUUUGAGGGGGCACAGUGUGCACAACAAACAGAAACGUGUUCACAAAUACAGACGUUAAAAGCAAUAUUCUAUUUAUUUUAUAUUUAUACA
Onychostoma macrolepis is the source of this 1084-nucleotide long non-coding RNA. RefSeq lists it as uncharacterized. Lineage: Eukaryota; Metazoa; Chordata; Actinopteri; Cypriniformes; Cyprinidae. The record is from RefSeq and is a predicted model, not a curated record. The transcript has 6 exons.